GCUUACACAUGCAAGUCGAACGAUGAAGCUACUGCUUGCAGUAGCGGAUUAGUGGCGCACGGGUGAGUAAUAUAUAGAUAAUGUGCCUCUUAGUCUGGGAUAGCCAUUGGAAACGAUGAUUAAUACUAGAUACUCCUUCUUACUCUAAUGUAAGUCGGGAAAGUUUUUUCGCUAAGAGAUCAGUCUAUAUCCCAUCAGUUAGUUGGUAGGGUAACGGCCUACCAAGACAAUGACUGGUAGCGGGUUUGAGAGGAUGAUCCGCCACACUGGUACUGAGACACGGACCAGACUCCUACGGGAGGCAGCAGUGAGGAAUAUUGCACAGUGGGGGAAACCCUGAUGCAGCAACGCCGCGUGGAGGAUGACGCAUUUCGGUGUGUAAACUCCUUUUAUAUGUCAAGAAAAUGACGGUAGCAUAUGAAUAAGCACCGGCUAACUCCGUGCCAGCAGCCGCGGUAAUACGGAGGGUGCAAGCGUUAUUCGGAAUCACUGGGCGUAAAGGACGCGUAGGCGGGAUGCCAAGUCUGAUGUGAAAUCCUAUGGCUUAACCAUAGAACUGCAUUGGAAACUGGUAACCUAGAGUAUGGGAGGGGGAGAUGGAAUUAGUGGUGUAGGGGUAAAAUCCGUAGAUAUCACUAGGAAUACCGAAAGCGAAGGCGAUCUCCUGGAACAAUACUGACGCUAAGGCGUGAAAGCGUGGGGAGCAAACGGGAUUAGAUACCCCGGUAGUCCACGCCCUAAACGAUGAACACUAGUCGUCGGAAUGCUAGUCAUUUCGGUGAUGCACUUAACAGAUUAAGUGUUCCGCCUGGGGAGUUCGGUCGCAAGAUUAAAACUCAAUGGAAUAGACGGGGCCCGCACAAGCGGU
This 868-nucleotide ribosomal RNA is filed under the name uncultured bacterium. RNAcentral's name for it is "bacterial SSU rRNA". It matches the Rfam family "Bacterial small subunit ribosomal RNA", at positions 46 to 933 of the family's 1533-position model. The record is from RNAcentral.